AGGUAAUUGGAGUAGAACCUGCAGAGAUUAGUAUGAUCUCUGGUGAAAACUCAGGUUAUAUGCCAAGCAUUUUGGAUGUUAAAUUGCUUGACGAAGUUCUGAAGGUAAAGUUACCAAUGAUGAAGCAGUUGAAAUGGCACGGAAAUUGGCUCUGGAGGAAGGUUUGCUGGUUGGUAUCUCUUCUGGAGCUGCUGCAGCUGCUGCCAUCAGUAUUGCAAAAAGACCUGAGAAUGCUGGAAAACUUAUAGCUGUAAGCAAAUUUCUUAGUUCUGAAUUUUCUAUUAGCUUCUCUGCUGUUCUUUUUACAUGGUUCAAACUUUCAGUAGAAAUACCAAAAUUUUGACGAAUUAUUUCGGUUUUGAGCUGGCU
Molecule: long non-coding RNA, 369 nt
Organism: Macadamia integrifolia
Lineage: Eukaryota; Viridiplantae; Streptophyta; Magnoliopsida; Proteales; Proteaceae
Exons: 4
Source: RefSeq, a predicted model, not a curated record